This 369-nucleotide ribosomal RNA is filed under the name uncultured bacterium. Its description in RNAcentral is "bacterial SSU rRNA". It matches the Rfam family "Bacterial small subunit ribosomal RNA", at positions 527 to 898 of the family's 1533-position model. The record is from RNAcentral.
GGAGGAUGCAAGCGUUAUCCGGAUUCAUUGGGUUUAAAGGGUGCGUAGGCGGCUUUUUAAGUCAGUGGUGAAAUCCUGCCGCUUAACGGUAGAAUUGCCAUUGAUACUGAGAAGCUUGAGUCCAGUUGAGGUAAGCGGAAUGUGUAGUGUAGCGGUGAAAUGCUUAGAUAUUACACAGAACACCGAUUGCGAAGGCAGCUUACUAAACUGUCACUGACGCUGAUGCACGAAAGCGUGGGGAUCGAACAGGAUUAGAUACCCUGGUAGUCCACGCUGUAAACGAUGCUCACUCGCUGUAUGCGAUACACAGUAUGCGGCCAAGCGAAAGCAUUAAGUGAGCCACCUGGGGAGUACGAUCGCAAGGUUGAA